CAAAAAAUAAAUAAAUAAAGGAAGUAUGAACUAACAGAAAUUUUAUGUCGCUUUUCCCUGAAACCUCUGAAAACAAAUGUGUAAAAAGGAUUAAAAAGAAACAGAACAGCAACACAAAAUUAUGAGAAGUAGACAGGCAAUAUUCAACUAACUAACAAGAGAUGCAAAGAUUAAAAGAAAAGUAAAUGAUAAAAAAAUCUGGAUAAAGCUAAAAUCUAUAGAUCAAGCCAUUGACAGAACAAAGAAACCAAUGAAAAAUGCAAAAUAAAGCUAAAAAGAAUAGCAGAAAAAGGAAAAGGAGAAAAAAAAGAUUGAGACCCAUGUAUGUACC
This 331-nucleotide unclassified non-coding RNA is filed under the name Hevea brasiliensis (rubber tree). The record is from RNAcentral. Lineage: Eukaryota; Viridiplantae; Streptophyta; Magnoliopsida; Malpighiales; Euphorbiaceae.